Molecule: long non-coding RNA, 4653 nt
Organism: Stomoxys calcitrans (stable fly)
Lineage: Eukaryota; Metazoa; Arthropoda; Insecta; Diptera; Muscidae
Exons: 3
Source: RefSeq, a predicted model, not a curated record
GUAGUGUUUGUCUUAUGGAAUUUAACAAUUUGUUUUAUUUAUUUUUGUGGGCACAAUUAAAAAAACCUGAGCAAGUUUGUUACUCUGCUAUAAUGAAACAUGUUAAGGGGGUAAUAUGAAAAUAAAGUUAUUGUGAUAAGAGAAAUGCUAUCUUACAAAAAAGGGUGUACCAAUGACAGGCCGUCUACAACAGCAGCAUUCGCAUUAAGCAUGAAGUUUUGAGAGAAGUAUGGAAUGUUAUAUGUGCCUUCAUCAUACAUUCAUAUGGAAAGUGGAAAUUCAUGGUGGCGUUGGCAAAAAAUUCAACAUACAUUUUAAUGCCACACCAUAUUUAAUGUUGGUGGACUUAACAUUUGACAUAAUGUUAAUGAUAAAGUUUAUCAAAAGAACCAAAAGUUAAUCCCUUAAGUCUGCUCUCAAGUUCUCAACAAGUACACAAAUUGAACACACACACAUUCUUUUGAAAAAGCAGCAACGAAGCAAGAUGAGCUGAUGAGUGUAUUUAUUAGUAGACAUUUUCCGGCAACAUUGUAACAUUGCUAUGAGAGUUAAGUUCGGUGUUUUGUUUAUUUUAUGGAAUUUGACAUCUUCGUCGUUACUCAUUUUUGUUGGUGUAUUUUAUUUAAUCGUCGCUCCCGCAAAUAACAGGUGGAGAACAGAAUUAGAAUCAAAAGCAAAAGAAAAAUAACAAUUUUCGUGUUGUAUUUUAUUAUUACACCCAUUUAUGGCAUAUUUUCUCGAUUAUAUCGGGCGAGAGAUUAAUUUGUAAUUAGUGUUAUUCAGUUAUCGUGGACCGAGCCAAGAUGCGUUGUGGUUAGUGGAAAAACGUAGUCAAACACCUGGACGGACAGACUAAAGACACGACGUACCGCAGUAAAAUAGUACACGGUAUCCCACGGUAUCCUUCCCAAAGAAUGGGAAGGACGGUGGCGGUGGCAGUGGAGUGGAGGAAGAGGUGGCGGUUUUAUUGAAAAGUGUCCUCACUAUUCAACCUGGACUCGGUAACUAUUAACAUAAAUCACUGAGUAAAAAGUGGACAUGUAAAAAAAGCCUCUGGUGCCGCCGACAAUCCGUAUGAAAUACUACAAUAACAAAUAAACCGCCGGGAAUCCGGAAGUUUAUGUCGAAUACUUCUACAUCUCUCCAAAACUUCAUGUUUAAAACUUAUGGUGCUGCUGCUUUUGUCGUCGGCAUGUUGUUGGAACACCCUUUUUAACAGAGAGCGUUGACAAAAAUAAAUUGUUAAAUUCCAUAAAACAAUCAAUACGAGAAGCAUGCAUACCACCUAUUUUGUGAGCAAUGUUGCAGCAACGUCCAAAUGCUGGAGUUUCGUCCCAGCGAUAAGUCGUCAAUACAAAUAUCGAUUGCGAACCCGUUUAAUCGAGUUUUGUCGCAGGGCACCGAUGAAUGACAAUUUCUCCCAUACACUUUUAAAAUUGUUUUGGGUUUUGCAUAGUCUUGUACUGAGUUCAACUUUUCGACCGAAAACCUGUCAAAACACACUAUAAGAAUAUGAUGACGAAAAGAAUACAAAGUCAUUCCGCAGAAGUAGUAUCAUGAUAUAAUUACUAGGUAGUGUACCGUUAACAGCUGAGUAAAAUUUUUUCUCGCGAUGUCCAUCUAUCUGUCAACGAGAUUUGGUUUUGUGUGCGUAUUAUUGUUGAGAACCAUUACACACAAAUAACGAAAAAUGGCGCGAACUAGGAACAUGCUCAAAAUCAGAAUUAAACUAAUCACUGAUUUUGACAGAUAUUGGACUUAAUAUUUUGUUGUUGUGCAACUGCCACUACCUGUAAAUGAAUAUAUCUUGAAUAGUAUUGAGUAUUAAUCCUAGUACUGUCUUCGACUUUUCACACGAACUGUCAAAACGCACUAUAAAAAAUGGUGACGAAAAUAAUGCGAACAUAUUCCGUACAAGUGGUACUGAGUUCUAUAAGCAAAGUAGUAGCGACAUGUCGCUGCAUCAGGUGAUAUUUCGCAUAAUUUUAAUUGCCAAUGUAUUGUAAUUAAAUGUUCACGAAAUGGACCGAAUCAACUCUGCUUCAAGACUGUAGUCUUUGUUCAUGAUACAAUUAGAUGUUUCGUCGUUAGCACAGCAACAAAAAUCAACCCCCAAAGAAACUACCUGGCAAAUGCCGUAAAUUGAAAUAUCAAAGUGGUUUUAGAAAUAAACUUUGUUUUAUAACUUGGUCGGAUUUCGCAAUAUUUUCGCUGUGACUGAAAUCAGUGAUAAGUGCAACUCUGAUUUUAAGUAAGUUAUUAGUUCGCGCCAUUUUUCGUUGUUUGUGUGUUAUGGUUCUCAACUAUAAUUAUAAAUUUCGCUUAAAAUAUAGUACUGACUUUAUUCGCAGCGAAAAUGCCUAUUAAAUUAUUAUGAAAUCCCGCGGACGAAAAAGGACGCCCCUUUUUAAGUCAUGCGCCCCUUGGAGUUCAAAUAUUAAGGAAUACCACAAUGGCAAUGAAAUCCACUGAAUAAAUGGGGUCGUUCUUUUACUGUCGCCGAAAGCAAUUGAGCUCUACUAUUUACAUACAAUGUCAUAUCUGAACGCAUCAUGGCGGCAAGAUUAAAUUCAAAAUUCUGCAAAAUAUCUAUUGUACAAUGCUACGGGCCAACCGAACCCGAUGAUGACGAAACAAAGGAUCAAGGAUCAACACAGUGACACGUCCUCUACCAAAAAGAGACAUUAAACUUGUUAUGGGGGGAUUUCAAUGCCAAGGCGGGAAAUAAUAACAAUAAUCUACAAUCAAUCAUGAGAUGCAAGGACUUGGAAUGAUAAAUGCGACAGAUUGGUUGAUUUCUGCGCAAGAAACUGCCUCAUUAUUGGAGGCACAAAAUUCACCCAUAAAAAUAUACUUGGGAACCCCAGAUGGAAACACCCAUAGUCAAAUCAACCAUGUACUGGAUGUAAAAACUAGACGAGCAUCCGAAAUCGAUAGUGCUCUUAGUGGCCACUCCACGUCUACGACCAGCCGUCGUGAAAAGGAGUCAAACAAAAAUCGCACGCGACUUCAAAACAGCAUUAACUGAGAAGCUACAAAAUUUCACCCAGACAUAGGCCAACAUAACAACAGCAUGUACGGAGACGGCCAUCUCUAUCAUAGGCACUGCUAGACGAUUCCAAAAACUAUAGAGGAAAUAAAACACCGGAAACGUCUAAACAACACUCUGCUUCAGCAAAAUCAAGUGUAACAAAAUCCGCAGCCAAAACUGAAUAUCGUAAGCUCCGACCCUUUUAACCCCCCUGCGCACAGCUCCACCAAUCUGCGAAAAACCUGAAGCCGUUCUGGUCUCACUCAAAAGCUGACAAUGUACCUGUCGAACUGUUGCGGUAUGGGGCACACCUCAUAGCACAAGGGAUCGCCCUAAUAAUCAGAGAGGCCUGUGAUACAAACGCUGUCCCCUCGGAAAGGAAGAAGGGGAACAUGGUUACAAUCUCAAAGAAGGGUGGCAUUGUUAAACGCAAUAAAUAAAUUGAUGGUAUGUUUUCUUCUGCAGCGUAGACAGGUUUUCGGCAAAGACGUUCCUGUGCUGACCACAUUAACAUUUUGCACAUAAUCAGUCUUUACAAUAUAAUACACACGCUUUGAGCAUGAUUUUGGUAUUGAUUCGCGAAGUCCAAUGUGAAGCACGCUAUUGAACAAAUAUAUCCCCGAAAAGAUCGUGACACUAAUCAGGGAGCUGUAAAGGAAUGCAGAAGUUUCAGUUCGUUUCCAUGUAAAAGAGAUCCGUUCUUUCGAGAUCAAUAAAGGGGUGAAGCAGGGGUGCAUCUUAACACGGAUGCUAUGUAUAAUUUUACUAGCUUCCGUCUUAGAGGCGACCAAUGCUGAGGUACCCUAUGACAUUCGCUGGGACCUACACGACUUUCUUGGUGACAUCGACUACGCGGAUGAUAUAUGCCUCUUGGCGUAUAGCUUUGAGCACAUAAAAGCGAAAUUGGAACUGAAGACGCGACCAAAGAAGGCCUGAAAAUAAACAUAGCUAAGACCAAAUUGAUGCGGAUACUACUAAAUUUUCCAUGAACGCUGCAAUAAGGAACAGAUGCGGAUAGGAACAAAAAAUCUGACACCGCUCAUUAUAAACGGCCAUGUUAUUCAAGACGUCGAUAAUUUUUCCUACCUUGGCAGCAAAAUAUCAAAGAACUUAGGAUUGGAAGCAGACGUACGCAAACAUAUUAACAACGCUAGAAGCGCCUUUCUUAAACUAAACAAAAUUUGGAGAUGCAGUGACAUCUCACACAAUACAAAAUUCAGAAAGUUAAACAGUUGUGUGAAAUCUAUUUUAUUAUAUGGACUGAAACCCGCAAGGUCAGCGAAGGAGAGGUCGCCCGAGAAACACAUGGUUCCGCUGUAGAAAAGGAGAGUUGGAAGAAACCCACAUAUCGUGGAAUCAAACCAAUGGUGGUUCAAAUCCAAUGAUUUUAAUGUGUAGUCAUUUCAUUUAUUUUGUGCAAUUUAAUACAAAGCCAAUAACAAUUUUUAGAGCUAAUUUCGACCUAAUAGUCUUUUGAAUAAAUUUACUUUCACCUAAUAGUUUUGAAACUGAUAUAAACACUGUUGCACUUACAUAUGGACAACGAGGCGAUGUGCAAUAGGCAUCUUGUGGAUCCUGUUUCUUCAUUCUACUCCUUUUGUCCAGCUUUCUUCGAUUGCUGG